Armigeres subalbatus is the source of this 679-nucleotide long non-coding RNA. RefSeq lists it as uncharacterized. The transcript has 2 exons. The record is from RefSeq and is a predicted model, not a curated record. Lineage: Eukaryota; Metazoa; Arthropoda; Insecta; Diptera; Culicidae.
UUUUUGAAGUGUGAUUUUCGUUUUUAUUCCUGCGUUGUUCUCGUAAAUUACUAGGCAAAGUUUAAGUGUGAAUAAUAAAAAUUAUUUAGUUUUCGGUUCUGCUGUCGUUUCCUUACUGGAACUAGCAAGAAUCUCUUUGGCGGAUUGCCUUCGUGGCUGUUGUUUGAUUUGGUCAAGCCCGGAACAGGUUGUACGACUAAGCCAAAACAAUCGAAAAAUGUCGAUAACAGGCUUGGAACUGGACCUAAAUAGGAAUCUGGAACAGGGGCACCGCAUUUUAUGAACGUGCUUGGUGUGCAAACACGUCACGUACUUCACAUUCCCGAUACGCACGAUGGUGAGUUGCCAGGUCUCCCGGUCUUGGGCCGCUAGUCGUCAGUCUCCCUGCACACCGACGAGUUGCCAUUUCAUCGGGAGCGGAUUGCUAUGGAAUCUGUGCUUGUUGGGUCUAUCGUUAUGCUUUGCUACGGGACGGAAUGAUUCAGUGGGACCAGGAUAAAACACCGGCGCAAGUGUACUUCUCGUUCAAGGAUGAAAAGAUCAACGUUUAUUAGUCAAGCGCCGGUAUGUUGUUUAAUUGUGAAAGCUAAAUUGUAAGCUUGCUUAAUUAUCUCCAACCGAAUAUGUACUUUAAUAUAUGUAAAUAUAUGUUUAAAAUUAUGCAUACACAAAAUAAAAA